Molecule: small nuclear RNA, 107 nt
Organism: Trichechus manatus latirostris (Florida manatee)
Lineage: Eukaryota; Metazoa; Chordata; Mammalia; Sirenia; Trichechidae
Source: RefSeq, a predicted model, not a curated record
GUAGUUGCUUCAGCAGUACAUAUACUAAAAUUGAAAUGAUACAGAGAAUAAUAGCAUGGUACCAGCACAAGGAUGACACACAAAUUCAUAAAGCAUUUCAUAUUCUU